AAACAUGUGCAAAUGUUCCUUUUGCAGAAGACAAAGGCAUAAGAUUCCCUAACAGCCUUUGACUACUUCGUUUUUACCCAAAAGUGCAAUACUUUAAUAUCUAUCUACCCACUUGACCUGUGUAUGGACCACAAUUCAACAAACCCCACAACCUAACUAUUAUUAACUCCACUACCAGAAUUAAAAACCACUAUAAAUCCAGCACACUUAUACCCAACAUUUUUCAAAACCCUAAACACUAUUACAAGAAAAAAUCACUUACCGUAGUCUGGAGGAGCAUCGUCCCUGUACCGACGACGAAAAGCCAUUUCAUCAACCACUUCUGCUUUCUCAGUCUUCCUCUUCAACUUCUAUGCCGUGUUUCUGGGUUUCCUUUGAUUUUUCGAUAAUGGGUAUGGGGUUCUUACAGUGGUUCGGGUUCGUGUUCCCUUUUAUUUCCAAACAGUGUCUUCGACUUCUUUCGAUUUCGCAAAAAACGGUUUGGGGUUCUCUCCUUACACUGUUAAAGACCAAGGUUUUAAACGGUACAAUGCCACGUAAUUUCGAUUUGCAGACUGGGCACUUGGGCUAACCAGCCACAUAAGCAGAAAACGGGGUCAGUUAGACGGGGGAGUGUAUUUGCUAACGGACCAGUGGUUUAGGUAGUAUUACCACCAAAAUUUUAGAUUUGGGGGUUAUGUGCAAAACCCUCUCCACUUUAGGGGGUUUUGCCGCAAAUAACCCUUUUUUUUUUACAAUCUAUGUUAUUUUAUUCCUUUAAUAAUAAAACUAGUAAAGAAAAUAAAAAAGAAAGAAAGAAUUAGUCAGGCAAAAUCAUAAAGAAAAAAUGUAUAUUAUUAUCAUUAAUGAAUAAUAAUACAAAUUCACUUUUCUCUCUAA
Long non-coding RNA from Cannabis sativa, 879 nucleotides. RefSeq lists it as uncharacterized. The record is from RefSeq and is a predicted model, not a curated record. NCBI's taxonomy places the organism in Eukaryota, Viridiplantae, Streptophyta, Magnoliopsida, Rosales, Cannabaceae. The transcript is spliced from 2 exons.